AAAUUGAAGAGUUUGAUCAUGGCUCAGAUUGAACGCUGGCGGCAGGCCUAACACAUGCAAGUCGAACGGUAACAGGAAACAGCUUGCUGUUUCGCUGACGAGUGGCGGACGGGUGAGUAAUGUCUGGGAAACUGCCCGAUGGAGGGGGAUAACUACUGGAAACGGUAGCUAAUACCGCAUAACGUCGCAAGACCAAAGAGGGGGACCUUCGGGCCUCUUGCCAUCGGAUGUGCCCAGAUGGGAUUAGCUAGUAGGUGGGGUAACGGCUCACCUAGGCGACGAUCCCUAGCUGGUCUGAGAGGAUGACCAGCCACACUGGAACUGAGACACGGUCCAGACUCCUACGGGAGGCAGCAGUGGGGAAUAUUGCACAAU
This 375-nucleotide ribosomal RNA is filed under the name Escherichia coli. RNAcentral's name for it is "bacterial SSU rRNA". It matches the Rfam family "Bacterial small subunit ribosomal RNA", at positions 1 to 372 of the family's 1533-position model. The record is from RNAcentral. Lineage: Bacteria; Pseudomonadati; Pseudomonadota; Gammaproteobacteria; Enterobacterales; Enterobacteriaceae.